RNAcentral lists this long non-coding RNA (4504 nucleotides) under Canis lupus familiaris (dog). RNAcentral's name for it is "lncRNA (ENSCAFG00000055877.1)". Lineage: Eukaryota; Metazoa; Chordata; Mammalia; Carnivora; Canidae. The record is from RNAcentral.
UUUUUCUUUUUUUUUUUUUUUUAAGAUUUAUUUAUUUAUUUAUGACAGACACGGAGAGAAAGGCAGAGACAUAGGCAGAGGGAGAAGCAGGCUCCCCACAAGGAGCCCAAUUAAGGACUCAAUCCCAGGACCCUGGGAUCAUACCCUGAGCUGAAGGCAGACGCUCAACCACUGAGUCACCCAGGCAUCCUGACCAAAGCUUUUCCCAUUGUACUAUGCUACUCCCAUGCUACUCAUCUAUAACUUGUAUAUUUGGAUCAGUCUUAUAGAGCUUAAAAAUUGUUUCUAAUUCAUCUUAUUACUUCAGGUUUAAGUGGAAGAUAACCAAUUUUUCCUUUGUUCUUUCCUCUUGCCAAAAGUGUUUUGGACCAAGUUUUAUAGUAAGUUGUUUUAUGUUUUGCUUGUUUAACUUGUAUAUUGGAGAGGAUUUUAAAAAGUGAAUAUUAUGAAUAGCAAAUAUGUCAAAUAAAAUAUAUAUUCCUAAUGUUAUAUGGCUUGUUCUCAGAGAUAGCCAUACAUCUUUCUUUGGCCAGAGGGACUGCCUAAGUUAACACCUCUUACCCAGCAAAAUAAUUAACAGAACCCUCUUUCAUUCUCAAAAAUUCUCUCAUGUGGAAGAGAAGGUUAAUCAUAGCUGCACUUGAGAACCACUGCAUAGGAAAAGGAAGUGCCUCUCUCUUAUAGAACACUAGGCUUAAUGUUCUAUAAGCCUAUAAUAACAGAAGCAUCUUCCUAAUGAUGCUUCUGGUAUUUUUCAACGUCUAGGCAAACUGCAGUCCAGUCAACACUCUAAAAAUUUUUUUCUCAUGAAGUCAUUAUAGUUUUACUAAUAUUAAAAAAUCUUUCAAAUAGGAGUGCCUGGGUGGCUCAGUCAGUUGAGCAUCUGACUCUUAGUUUUGGCUUGUGUCAUGGUCUUGGGUUGUAGGAUUGGCCCCCUUCUCUGGCUCCACACUAAGCAAGGAGUCUGCUUCUCUCCUUCUGCCUCUCCCUCUGCUCACACUCUCUCUCUAGAAUAAAUAAGUAAAUCUUAAAAAAAAAAAUCUUUCAAAGUAAAUUAAAUGAUGCCUUUUUUACCAUGAAUUAAUUAUUAGUUUUACAACCUAAUAAAGCAAACAUGAUUCUUUUCUAAACAUAUUGAGGUAUAUAUGUGUGUGUGUGUGUGUAUGUAUAUAUGUGUGUAUAUAUAUAUAUAUAUAUAUAUAUAUAUAUAUAUAUGUGUAUAUAUAUAUAACCAAAAAGUGACUUGUUAAAAAGACCCUAAAUAGCAAAUAAAUGUUCACCUUCCCUAAACUUUUUUUCACAAAAGAUAGACUAAUCUCUUCCACUGAUUUAAGAGUUUUAUAAGUUUUAUCUCUGUAGGUCAAGACUUCUUCAUAUCAUAGUUUUGAACAUUUGAGUUGUCUGAUCUGGGUUAUCUCAUUGCCAUCUCCCUUCAAAAUAUCAAUGUCACAACAUAAUCAUUGCAUGCUUUCUCAUGCUAUUGUGUUUUUUCUACUCUGCUCCAUCAUCUUGGAAGGCCCUUCAUAAUCAGUCUCAUCUGGUGGCCAUUUUCCCUAUACAUGGUGACUUGCAUGGUGACAUAUCCUUCUAAACUUUUCUCAGGUAGCACCAUCUGUGGGAAAUCUCUCUCAACUGAAUCAAGUACCACUUCUCCAAGUUCUUCCUCAGCAAAAUCCCAAAUAACAUCGAACCCAGACUUACUCAGCUUUUGCUAUGACCAAGGCAUUGUGCUAGAUGCCAGGGAAUGCAGCAGUGAAUCACACAGACGUAUUACUGCUCUCUCACGGAAUUUUACAUUUUAAGCUCACAGUAUGUUACCCUAUUUUCAUCAUUGCUUUACUUGGUUAUCUCAGCCAAUGGAUUAUAAAUCCCAUCCAAGUAGAGAUGGUCUUAUUUGUCUUCGAAUUUUUAGAGCCUGGAUUAAGGCUUGGAAUUAAUAGGAAUUUAACCUACCAUGAGAAAUAUCUUGAAGAUACCUGAAAUCUGGAGGUGCCUGGGUGGCUCAGUCAGUUAAGCGUGUCCGACUCUUGGUUUCAGCUCAGGUCAUGAUCUCAGGGUCCUGGGAUAGAGCCCUGCAUUGGGCUCUGGCUCCAUACUCAGCUGGGUAUCUGCUUGUCCCUCUUCCUCUCCCCUUGCUCCUCUUCCCCCACUCAUGCUCUCUCUCUCUGUCAGAUAUAUAAACAAAAUCGAAGAAGAAGAAGAAGAAGAAGAGGAGGAGGAGGAGGAGGAGGAGGAGGAGGAGGAGGAGGAGGAGAAAUAUGACAUCUGGACUUCUAUUUUCCCCAGGGUAAUAGUUUUAGAAACACUUACUAAAACAGGAGAGUUGGAUGAAUCGCAUAUGUUUAAACUUCCAGUUUACUUAAAAAUUAAAUAUUUCAAAUAUUUUCUUUUCUCUACUGAAUUUACAGGUUGAAGAGGUUGCAAUAUUGUUUUUCUCUCAUCUCCAAUAGUAUUGCUAAUCUUCAUUUCCCCCCCUGCAAUAUGAAAGCUCUUCCAUUUCAUUCCAAAGUGUUUGGCAGAAGUGAAAGCUGCCAUGACAAAGAAUAGAUACUCAGCUUCACUUCUGCUGAGCUGUUAGUUCCUGCCCUUAAAAUAGGUAGAGGAUACAAAGGUCAAGCACGAUAACCUCAUUCCUUGUGACAGGUCAACUAAUAUCUAUAAAGUUGAAAUGGAGCUCAGUAAUAAAAAAAUUUUGCAAUUGCUGUAGAACAAUUUGGGUGCUACUUUAUCUUGAUUUAGGUAGCAGACUAUUAGAGAUGUCUCUGGAUUCAAAGAACGUGCACAAGAGGAGGGCAAAGUGGUCAGACUUAAAGGGCCCUCGGUAAAAAUGAACAAAUACAAGCCUGUGUGCUGGAUCUCAGAGCCAGUGUUCUUUGUCAAGGAGCCUAAGGAGAAAACUUGCUUUAGAAUACUUAUCUUAGCAUCAAACCUUCUAAUAACUUGUAACUACUUUCUCUUCCUUUCUCAUUUCUCCACUGCCUUCUCUCCACUGUGUACUGUGUGUUCUGCGUGUGUGCAUACAAAACCAUGGUCACAUACAUGCAAACACACCCCUGCUUUCCUCCUCAUAAAUACCGACAUCUUAGUGUUUAAGCACACCAAGGAAGAAAUCUAUGAAACCCCUAUAAACAAGACACCGCCCAAUGUUUAAAUCUUACCAACAUGAGCAUUUCAGGAACUGUCUAAACACAUCACAUCCAAACAGCUAAAAUAAGAAAUUAAUCACUCCUCAUCUUACUCCAGAGUUCAUUAAUGAACAAAUUAGCAGGUCUCUCUUAAAAAAUUUUCAUUUAAAAUAGGUGUAGCUUUGUAAAUAAUGUUUAAUGAAAUGUUCAAGCUUGGAAAUAAGUGAUUCCAUUCAUUUAUUCAUUGAAAACAUUUUUUUUUAAUUUCACUUUCUUUUUAAAGAUUUUAUUUAUUUAUUCAUGAGAGACACAGCGAGAGAGAGAGUCAGAGACAUAGGCAGAGGGAGAAGCAGGCUCACCUCAGGGAACCCAAUGUGGGACUGGAUCCCGGCACUCCAGGAUCACACCUUGGGCUGAAGUUAGGCGCCAAACCACUGAACCACCCAGGCAUCCCUAGUUUCACAUUUUUAUUUAAAUUCCAGUGAGUUAAUAUGCAGUGUACUAUUACUUUCAGGUGUAGAAUUUAGUAAUUCAUCACCUGCAUAUCACACCCAGUGUUCAUCACAAGUGCCCUCCCUAAUACUCAUCACCCAUUUUUUCAGCAUGUCCUAAAUACAAGAUUGUGUGGUACACAUUUGGGGGAGGGGGAGGAAAAGCUGAAAAAGCCAUAAAUUAUUACCAAGAUGCUUCUCCUCGGUAGUGAGCUUAUGGUUGCCAGCAGAAGUGAUGAAAAAUUGUCCUAGGAGUGCAGAUGAGGCGUGAGCUUUGCACACUGGGGCAUUUCUGAUUAGAAAUGCCUUCAUCUGGGACACAGCUUUUGUCUGGAUGCCGAAAAUCAUUACAGGCAAGGGAGAGGGACAUUUGGAAGAAAGAGCAUUAGGCAAGGCAAGAGAGUAAGCAAAGCAAUGCAUAGAGAAUUAAUCCCAUUUGCAUGGACCACUGAAGGAGGGAACACCUUGAGGACAACACUGGCAAAGUUGGUUUGGGCCAAAUCGUGGCGUGCCUUGAACGCCAAGCAAAGAGCUUUAUCCACUUGAACCUGCACUCUACAGGGGAAACCACUGAAGUUUUCCGAGUAAGGAUUCAGAGUUUGGCUUUAGUUGAUGUAAUUGGAUGGAAGAGAUACUUCUUCCCACAAGAAGAGGGGAAGAAAAAGAAAAUAGAGGAAAUAUAGAGAAAUUUAGAGCCAGGAAAGAGGGAAGUCACAAAAACCACCUCAAGUCCUAGAAUAAAAGAAAAUAAAAGUCCUUGCAGAGAGCAAGUAGAUAUGGGUGAGGUUCGGAACCUCUGCAGAAAGCGAAAGUUGGUUAUGAAGCCUUACAGAUUUACUAGAAAUAUGUUAUAGAAUAAGAAGAAAGGUUAAAAAAAAAAAAAAAAAA